This is a long non-coding RNA of Podarcis raffonei (Aeolian wall lizard), 539 nucleotides long. RefSeq lists it as uncharacterized. The record is from RefSeq and is a predicted model, not a curated record. The transcript is spliced from 3 exons. NCBI's taxonomy places the organism in Eukaryota, Metazoa, Chordata, Lepidosauria, Squamata, Lacertidae.
AAUUGGCUUCGCAAGUCUCAUCUUUCCAUUGUGAGAGCUCUGUAGCCCCUCUUUCUAGUGCUGAAUCAUCAGGUAACUUAUCUCACUGAAAUGGAAAAACACGAACCCCCUCUGACGCUUUUGCCAGAGUGGAACCUCUUGCCUAAGGGAACAGUCCUACCUGGAGAUGCUGGGAGUUCAGGCUGGGCCCAAGAACAGCCACACAACAUGUCAUCCUUAUGCCUUUUUUCAUUCCAUUCCAGAAACAAAGAAAAUCAAGGCUAACUCUUCAACAGGAAGGUCCAGAAACACCAGCAACAACCCGAGAAAGAACAGCAGUCUGCGCAGACCAUGGCUGUGCUCCCAGGAGCUACUUUAGGUGGACCCAAAACCCAGCAGAAUUUUUGACAUUCUCCCUCUUUUGAGAAGUGGAUUCCCAUAUCAUAGCAGAAACUGCUUAUGAAAAUCUCCAGUAAAGGAGUGGUGUGCAGCAUGCAGUGAGGCUGUUUGAGAAAGAACUUGUCACAAUAAAGAACGUGUGGAAGUUGUCGCAAAGUAGA